This 305-nucleotide ribosomal RNA is filed under the name uncultured Pseudomonas sp. Its description in RNAcentral is "bacterial SSU rRNA". It matches the Rfam family "Bacterial small subunit ribosomal RNA", at positions 1076 to 1382 of the family's 1533-position model. Lineage: Bacteria; Pseudomonadati; Pseudomonadota; Gammaproteobacteria; Pseudomonadales; Pseudomonadaceae. The record is from RNAcentral.
UUGGUUAAGUCCGUAACGAGCGCAACCCUUGUCCUUAGUUACCAGCACGUUAUGUGGGCACUCUAAGGAGACUGCCGGUGACAAACCGGAGGAAGGUGGGGAUGACGUCAAGUCAUCAUGGCCCUUACGGCCUGGGCUACACACGUGCUACAAUGGUCGGUACAAAGGGUUGCCAAGCCGCGAGGUGGAGCUAAUCCCAUAAAACCGAUCGUAGUCCGGAUCGCAGUCUGCAACUCGACUGCGUGAAGUCGGAAUCGCUAGUAAUCGUGAAUCAGAAUGUCACGGUGAAUACGUUCCCGGGCCUU